UGGGGAAUAUUGCACAAUGGGCGAAAGCCUGAUGCAGCAACGCCGCGUGAGUGAUGAAGGUCUUCGGAUUGUAAAGCUCUGUCUUUUGGGACGAUAAUGACGGUACCAAAGGAGGAAGCCACGGCUAACUACGUGCCAGCAGCCGCGGUAAUACGUAGGUGGCGAGCGUUGUCCGGAUUUACUGGGCGUAAAGGGUGCGUAGGCGGAUGUUUAAGUGAGAUGUGAAAUACCCGGGCUUAACUUGGGUGCUGCAUUUCAAACUGGAUAUCUAGAGUGCAGGAGAGGAGAAUGGAAUUCCUAGUGUAGCGGUGAAAUGCGUAGAGAUUAGGAAGAACACCAGUGGCGAAGGCGAUUCUCUGGACUGUAACUGACGCUGAGGCACGAAAGCGUGGGUAGCAAACAGGAUUAGAUACCCUGGUAGUCCACGCCGUAAAACGAUGAGUACUAGGUGUAGGAGGUAUCGACCCCUUCUGUGCCGCAGUAAA
Molecule: ribosomal RNA, 485 nt
Filed under: uncultured bacterium
Lineage: Bacteria
Description: partial 16S ribosomal RNA
Rfam family: Bacterial small subunit ribosomal RNA
Source: RNAcentral